AUGUGUCUGCCCGGCAAGCAGCAACCAUCACGAUCCCGGGACAGUGGGCAUGAGAUCCAGGCAUGCGGCGGCCAAACCAGCACCCAGGUGGCCCUCCGCAACGACAGAAGGAGGUGCCGAAUACAGGGCUCCCCGCAACGAGAUGUCCGUCUCCAUCAAGGGGCCCCGGGCGUCUUUGACGUGGCAGAUAAAGUGACCCCUGAGAAGGCCAUCAACGUGCUAGCCGCUGCCCAAGGGGGAAUCUGCGCCAUGUUAAAGGAACAAUCUUCCACCACGGCCCCGAAAGUCUACGCUCUGGAUUCCAGAUGUGAGGGCACAACCGGCUCCACAGUGGUCGUGGGCUGCCUGGUCUCGAGCUACUUCCCUGAGCCAGUGACCGUGACCUGGAACUCGGGCACCCUAUCCAGCGGUGUGCACACCUUCCCAUCCGUCCUCGGGUCCUCGGGGCUGUACUCUCUCAGCAGCACUGUGACCGUACCUUCCAGCACCUCGUCCGGCAAGACCUUCACCUGCAACGUAGCCCACCCGGCCAGCAGCACCAAGGUGGACAAGCGCAUCGAGAUCAAUGGCCGCAAACCAUGCCCCAAGUGUCCUGAAUGCCAGAAGUGUUCCAAAUGUCCAUCCCCUGAGCUCCCAGGAGGACCGUCCGUCUUCAUCUUCCCCCCGACACCCAGGGACACCCUCACAAUAUCCCAAAUACCCGAGGUCACCUGCGUUGUGGUUGACGUGGGCCACGAGGACCCCGAUGUCGAGUUCUCCUGGUACGUGGACGACGUACAGGUGCACACGGCCAAGACGAAGCCAAGGGAGGAGCAGUUCAACAGCACCUACCGUGUGGUCAGCGCCCUGCCCAUCCAGCACCAGGACUGGCUGAAGGGAAAGGAGUUCAAGUGCAAGGUCAACAACAAAGGUCUCCCGGCCCCCAUCGUGAGGACCAUCUCCAAGGCCAAAGGGCAGCCCCGGGAGCCGCAGGUGUACAUACUGGCCCCACCGCAGGAGGAGCUGGCCAAGAGCUCGGUCAGCUUAACCUGCAUGGUCACCGGCUUCUACCCGGGCGACAUCGACGUGGAGUGGCAGAGAAAGGGGCAGCCGGAGUCAGAGGACAAGUACGGCACGACCCCACCCCAGCUGGACGCCGACGGGUCCUUCUUCCUGUACAGCAAGCUCAGGGUAGACAAGAGGAGCUGGCAGCAGGGAGACACCUACACGUGUGUAGUUUUGCACGAGGCUCUGCACAAUCACAACACGCAGAAGUCCAUCUCCCAGUCUCCGGAACUGCUCCUAGAGGAGGAGACCUGUGCUGAUGCCCAGGACGGGGAGCUGGACGGGCUGUGGACGACCAUCUCCAUCUUCAUCACCCUCUUCCUGCUCAGCGUGUGCUACAGCGCCACCGUGACCCUCUUCAAGGUGAAAUGGAUCUUCUCGUCGGUGGUGGAGCUGAAGCGGACGAUCGUCCCCGACUACAGAAACAUGAUCGGGCAGGGCGCCUAG
Balaenoptera ricei (Rice's whale) is the source of this 1491-nucleotide non-coding RNA. The record is from the annotation of a RefSeq genome assembly. NCBI's taxonomy places the organism in Eukaryota, Metazoa, Chordata, Mammalia, Artiodactyla, Balaenopteridae.